GUCAGUCCCUUCGAAGCCCAGUUGCCGUGGAAACCGCGUGGGGCGCCUUCUUUAGUUCUUCAGUUGAGGGUACCCGGGGAUCAAGGGCUCGGGGGCUCACUUCCACCUUGAAGCCAUUCCUUCUAUUUGGAGAGGGAAAUACUUCAGCUCCGGGAAUGAGCCUGCAGAAAACCCGGUGACGCCAAUGCUGCGGCAUCUUAUUUACAAAAUAAAGUCUACUGGUCCCAUCACUGUGGCCGAGUACAUGAAGGAGGUGUUGACUAAUCCAGCCAAGGGUUAUUAUGUGUACCGUGACAUGCUAGGCGAAAAAGGAGAUUUCAUUACUUCACCUGAAAUAAGUCAAAUCUUUGGGGAGCUACUAGGGAUAUGGUUCAUUAGUGAAUGGAUGGCCACUGGAAAAAGCACAGCUUUCCAGCUGGUGGAACUGGGCCCAGGUAGGGGAACCCUCGUGGGAGAUAUUUUGAGGGUGUUCACUCAACUUGGAUCUGUGCUGAAAAAUUGUGACAUUUCAGUACAUCUGGUAGAGGUAAGCCAAAAAUUAAGUGAGAUUCAAGCAUUGACACUGACUGAAGAGAAGGUCCCGUUAGAGCGAAAUGCUGGAUCCCCAGUGUAUAUGAAAGGUGUCACUAAGUCUGGGAUUCCAGUUUCCUGGUACCGAGAUCUGCAAGAUGUUCCAAAAGGUAAUUACCUUAAUGUGGAUUAAUGAAAGAAUUUUGAUCACAACCCUCACAGUAUUGAUGGGACUGUAACGUUUUACAGCAAUGUAAUAGAUUGAGUUACUGCUGCCAAGUCCCUUAUCCAUAGAGAGUAGCCUACUUUUUUCUAGAAAAGAGCAUCAUAAUAGA
Molecule: small RNA, 845 nt
Filed under: Pongo abelii (Sumatran orangutan)
Lineage: Eukaryota; Metazoa; Chordata; Mammalia; Primates; Hominidae
Description: retained intron
Source: RNAcentral